UACGGGGGGAGCAAGCGUUGUUCGGAUUUACUGGGCGUAAAGGGCGCGUAGGCGGCCACCGCAAGUCGACUGUGAAAUCUCCGGGCUUAACCCGGAAAGGUCAGCCGAUACUGCGGGGCUAGAGUGCAGAAGGGGCAACUGGAAUUCUCGGUGUAGCGGUGAAAUGCGUAGAUAUCCGGAAGAACACCGGUGGCGAAGGCGGCCUGCUGGGCAGUUUAGCUGACACUGAGGCGCGACAGCGUGGGGAGCAAACAGG
This 256-nucleotide ribosomal RNA is filed under the name uncultured bacterium. RNAcentral describes it as "partial 16S ribosomal RNA". It matches the Rfam family "Bacterial small subunit ribosomal RNA", at positions 524 to 776 of the family's 1533-position model. The record is from RNAcentral.